UUUUGGAGGUCAGCUGGUAUAUUUCACUCUCUUCUUUCAUUGCAAGGGGGAAUUUGGAAGCUCAGAGAGUGUAAGUGGGUCACAAGACGCUGGCACGUCCACAGCUUUAUAUAACGGGCUUCGCUCAGAGAGCUUGAUUCGAGAGCUUUGUUUUCCACCCAGGGGAAGUUCUGCGAGUUUCAUUUUUAAAACGCAGAAGCUGCUCUUAACUGCUUUACUGAUGCACAUAAUAUGUCUUGUUAUAUGAAUACUUUAAUCAUUCUUACAUGUUUUCAUCUAUUGAACUUCAAUUCCAACUCAUUUAAGUAGAAUUCAAUUAAAGUCAAUUAAAGUAGGUUAAAAUCUUUUGCAAACAUGCGUACUGCCUCGUGAUAAUGACUGUUUGGACAAAUAUCAAUGCUGUGUUAUCACUGCUGUUUGAUGUGGCUCAUUGCUUCAGCAUUUUUUUCUGAGGCCGGUUUGCUAGCAGAUGAGAUUACGGGCUCGGCGGGGUGCGUGGACUGACUCGCUGGAGAAGCGGAUGUGAUUGAGGAUAGAUCUCCGUUUACUUCGCUCCAUGUGGCACACGCUCAGACAUGACAGGAAUGAACACGCUGUCACAUUUGAAACAUGCUGGGAUUUCUGGACGGAUUCAGCAGUGCGAUCACAGGUGAAGUUCACUCUCGCACACGAGUUUACAUUGUUCUUGUUUACAUUGUUCUUAUAUGCAUUCUUUUAUUUUAUUCAAUAAAUGUAUGCCAGCGGUUGUUGACUGGUGCACAGAUUGAGUUACACUUUUUUUGUCAUAAUUUCGUACAAAAAAUGUUUUGAAAAAUGAAAAACUCACACAAAUACAAUGCAAUGAAACACAAGAAACAGCUCACAUUACUAAUAAUAACCUACAUUUCAUAACAUAACGUCAACUCGAAGUUUACUUUGACCCACUGGUUUUUGACUCUGGACAACAAAACCAGUCAAUUUUUUGAAAUCGAGAUUUUCCCAUCAUAUGAAAGCUGAAUAAAUAAGCGUUCCAUUGAUAUGUGUUUUGUUAGGAUAGGACGAUGGUUGGGCGAGAUCCAAGUAUUUGAAAAUCUGGAAUCUGAGGGUGCAAAAAAAAUCAAAAUAUUAAGAAAAAUCGCCUUUAAAGUUGUCCAAAUGAAGUCCUUUGCAUUUUACUGACAAAAAUAAAGUUUCGAUUUCACGACUGAUGAACAAAAGAUUUCUGUGAUGAACAAAUAAUAUAUGAGAAGCUGUUUGCAGUACUUCUGCAGAUCCGCAUCCUUCUUACAGACUUCACAGAGACAUGCAACCCAUUCUCAUCAACUGCGUAGAAAUAACAUGCGCCGUGUAAUACGUACGCCAAAGUUCAAUUUGCGUGCAUGCAAUACGCCUAUUUUUGCAUGCAUAUUAUACAAAACGGUAUUUUUUCUGUGUUUUCUCUCCAUGUACUUUUCAACACCGAGGUGCACGCUGACACUGGCGUAUCAUAUGCACGCAAAAUUGAACGUUGGUGUACGUAUUACACGAUAUUGCAACAGCGUGUUAUUUAUACGCAGAUCAAUGAGAACGGGUCGAGACAUCAGUCCUGACCCACACUUCAAGAUAACAGGAUUAAGAAAGAGAUGGAGGAGAGAAGGAAGAAAUAGAAGAUUGAUAUAGAAGCCUUCAACCACGUCCUAAAUCCAACAUUGACCCCAAACCUAAUCCUACAAUCUGAUUGGUUGAAAUGCUGUUCCAGGACCAACAAUGUGUUUGUUGUGGAAGUGAUGUGCUAAUGCUUUUCAAAAUGAUCGACAAUUCCUGCAGAUGAUAAAAGGAACAGCUCAAAACUCUCAUUUAAACAGUCAUGAUAGGGUGUGUUGGCUUGCGCGUUUGUAUCUUUUGCAUGUGUGUGUGUGCGGCAUGUUCAGAGUUCACUGAACUCGAGAGUAUUUUUGUUCUGGUGUUGUUCUUGUAAAAGCAGGCCGGCUGCCACAUGCUGUCUCUCAACCCUGCCCACAGAAUGGGAUGAUGGGUCUCUGAAUGCUGUGAGUCAGCACACGUCCCACCCUCUUACACUCUUAACUCUUUCCUACCUCCGCAUUCUCAUUACCGUCACACUUCAGAUGCGAAAAUGGCUUUUUCUAUUGCAAACAUUCACCUGCAUUGUGGUUGUGUCUAGUGGUGUAGCCAUGACAAUCACGUUACAAUAUUUUCAGAAAAACAUUUAAGAUGUUUAGUCCGGGUUAAGAGUAAACCAUUUACACCCGUCUGAAUGAUUUAACAUGGUGUCUGAAGUUCUUGAAGGGGUGACCUCGUGUGUGUUUUCAGUGUUCGGCCUCAGAAAGAGAAGCAAGCUGAAGGAGAGAAUGUAGGUCACAUUCCUGAGCUAAAAGCUUUCCGUGCAUGAGCAAACACAACACAAUCACAGCAGGAUUUCCGCCAUUCCAUUGCAAGGCCGUCGACCUAUUACAUUUCCCCUGCGGUAGCCCCCCAAAGAGAAAUCCCCUCUCACCCCCUCCCCAGCGAGCAAAAUCGAAGCAGCCCGCCGAGUGUGCAUUCUACGUGAGUCGACGUGUGCGUGUUAGAGACCUGACGUCCUGGUUUUCAUAUAUCCCAUAUUCAACUCUUAAACUCAUAGGCUUGAAUCUUUGAAAUUGAAUGUUCUUAAUAAAAAAUAUUUAUCUCACGUGACUGUUCCGUUUCGUCUACAAUGUCGCAUGCGUAUACUUGACUUAAUGCAGAUUAUUCGAAAAUAAAGGCGAUUGGGUUGUCUUCUUUUUUUAUGUGAUGUGAAGUUAUGAUAAUCAAAUUAUAAAUCUUAGUUUAAAUAACAUAAAACACAUAGAAUUAAUGCUAAAACUUUAACUGAAUUUGCUGCAGUUAAAAAAAGUACAGAUUAAAACAUUUUAGUUGAAUGAACUAUAAAACUAGUUGAGCAAACAUACUUUCUAAUGUUUGAGUCAAGUUUGGGCCAACUAAAAAAUAACAAUUCAAGUAACACUUUGGAGACCGAAAUUGAGUGAACGUAAAAUGAGUUACUAAAUAAUAAUUAGUUGAAACAACUUGAACUUUUUUACAGUGUACUAGUAUUACCUCCUUAUCUAUAUUAUUUUCUUUUUUUUCAAAAAGCCAACCAGCUCUAAAUUUCUCUCUACAGUGUAUGUGACUUGAAUUUACUGUCACUCCAUAUGUUAAUUGUCUAUAGUGUACCUUAAAAACAAACAAAGCCGGACUAUUAAAGUAAACAUUAAAAGGUAAAGAGUAUUGAAAAAACAAACAAAUUAACUUUUUGUAUGCAUUAAAUACGGCACAUUUUUCAAACAGAGAACCCACAAUGCAUUGUGUUUACCAUGACCUUUCAUUUCCAGCUUGACAAUUAAACCAUUAAUAUUUUCUGCUUUGAUUGUAACACUUUAAGUUAUUUGCUCAUGUAAUAAUUUCUCCUCCCCGCCCAACCCAUCAUGAGUGUGUUACUGUUGAAAUCUCACAGAGUGAUGUCUCAUACUUCACAUGCUGUUUGUAAUUCUCUUUCUCUCCCAUCUGUGUUCAAGUGCAGCUGCAGUACAAUAAGCAUGCGCGGGUGUUGCGUCUGGACACGUCCGGGGCUCAAAUGAUCCCCCCGCACCCGUGUAAUAAACCGUCACCAUCCUGUCACUGCUUAUCUCCGUCCUCCCGCCCUCUGGAGACGCAGCCGUGCCCCGAUCUGAGGCCAGAAAAAACGCAGGAGUCAAAACAGAGCUGUGAUUCACAGUGGAGAUAGAAGCCAUCAUCAUCAUGCGGUCCAGCUGCUUCCUGGAAUUAAUGCUGUGGUGUGUGUGUGCGUGUGUGUGUGUGCGUGUGUGUGUGUGAAAGCUUGAGCAACCGCUCUUUUGACUCACAUUAGCUGGAUGAAACAGGAUUUGACUUUUCCUCUUUUCUUUAAUGGUGUCAGUUGUGCUCACAAUGAUCCAAGUCAGAUCCAAACAUGAAUUGCAUAUUUCCCCGUAGGGAAGAAAAAUGGCAACAUCUCUCAACUCAAAUAUUUUCCUUGUACAGUUUUAACAUACAGUGCACACAUUUGAACACUAAAAACGUUCAUUCAAUAAAUUUGUUCAGCCUUGAGGAUGUUAGUGCUCACAUGUUUUGUUUCAGUAUGUUCAUUAAUGGCUGGAAUACACUACAAGUGUACAAGUUUAAACUACUGUACACAUCAUACACUUGCAGACGUUGUGAAAGUUUCAGAUAGAAACACACUAACUGAUCAAAUCUGCAGACUGGCACAGACUUUCUGCAACAAGUCCAGACUGAAAAUCUGGGCAAAAUCUGAGCAAAAGUCUUGUAGUGUAUUUAGCCUUAAGUCUCAGACGUUCAGUUACUGUAAAAUUGUUCAGGCGAAAUAAGCAAACAGUAAAUGUUGAAACACACGAAGAGUAAGGAGGUGUAAAUGAAUGUAGAUUGUAGAGGUCAAAUAAUCUGGAUGUGAUGGGAAAUGUUUGAGUUCAUAUCGAGAUCUUUAGUAAUAUUUACUUUUGAUUGCAGACUUGACAAAUCUAAGCUCAGUUUGACACAUUGUUGACAUCUCUUCUCAAACUCUAUGACAUUUGUGACAAUUGUGACUCUCAGGAGAAAUAUCUGAGACGCAGAUGAGACUUCAACAAAAGUUUGCAUUUGCUCUCCAUUUAUGUGUUCCUGGUUGAUUGAUGUCAAUCCUUUGUUAAAUAUAUAUCUGUUACAAUGUGUGUGUGUAUAUAUAUAUAUAUGUGUGUGUGUGUUUAUGGGGUCAUCUUUAAAUAUCUCAAUCUAUUGUAUAGGAAUAAAAAAUCACAAAAAUUAAUUUAAAAGUAUAUUCUUGCUGUACUUAUGAAUCUGAGACAAUGAAAUCAUGACAUUAAAAAACAAAACUCUAAUAAUGUAUUCUGAGCUUUUAAAGACACAGAAUUUUCCCUUUUGAGGUCAAAAGUGAUUGUUUAAUCUCAAAUAGUCGUUGUGUGACAUCAUGUGAAGAUUUAUUGUGUUUCUUAGUGACAGAAUCCGCUAACACGGCGACCGCUUGACAACGUGCUUACAGCGAACACAUCUGUGAAUUUAGCCAAAGGAUUUGAUUGUUUCUCAGUGGAUGGCUGAAGAGGACGGGGCGGUUUAGUCUGUAGGCUGCCGUGUGCCCUUAACCUACUUUAAAUAGUGUGUCAACUAAUACGUCUCUCAGGCGUUUCCCGUCUGAACAAUGACACCGGAGCGCAGAAGAAUAGAGAGCGAGACAAACAUCCCCCUUCGAGCGGCUGCCGAGCUUAAUUUAGGAAACCGUGUCAAUGUGAACCCUUGUCACACGGCAGUCUCAGAAUAGCCACCGUUCCCUUGGUAGCCAUUUUUUUUCCUUUUCUUUCUCGUUUGAUAGCAAGGAUUGCUGUGUGAGGACGCCAUGAUGUGCUCGACCUGAUUUUGCCAAGUGGUUGAUGUCCUCAGGGCAAGAUAUUUUGUUGACCUAAGGACAACAUUUUUAUAAAUAAAACCUAAACCCACACCAAACCCCAACCCUAGCCAUAACUUACCCCUAAAAUAAGAGGGAAAUGAUGAGUGAAAAACUAUGGUCUAGAAGCCCCUAAUCCUGGUUGGAACAUUAAACUUAAAAUAAACUGCAAACAUAUUUCUGAAAUCUGAUGUUGACAUCAACAUGAUGUUGCCCUAAGGACAUCAACCAGCCCCAUGAUGUUGCGAUGGAUCUUCAGACGGAUGAGGGAAAUGAGCACGCUAAACCCAUGGAAAACUCCUAGAUUGAAUAAAAAAGAAUACUUCUACUAACAGUAGAGCAUGCAAACGUGUCAGUGUUGGUUUAUUGAAUACAUUUGAUUUAUUGUGGUGGAAAAACCAUCUGCUCUGUGAGUCUGAUGCCAGGCAAUGAUGAGGUGAUGUUUGGAAACCGUUUGAUGUCGCUUUAGACUAGAACUGGCCUGCAUUUAAAGGGGUGAUUGGACACGAUUUCAUGUUUAGCUUUUGAUUUAGUGUGCUAUCUAAAUCAUACGCUUGUGGUAUUCAGCCAAUCACAAACGCACUUCUCAACGGCCAAUCAGAGCCGCUGCGCUUUCCAGAGCAAUGAGUUUUGGAAAGGCGUGUCAUGGAGGAGCUACAAUAAUGUACGGUGUGUGAACAUUUUAAAUGUGUAAAUACAUUGAAUUGCACCAAAAACAAAAGUUAAUAAGGUUUUUAAUCAUGUCAUAUCGCCCCUUUAACACCCUAGAUAGCAUGUAAACAUCCGUUUCAGCCAUGUUUACCAGCGCUUUUAUUAACGAAGCAAUCGCAAAUGAGUGACUUCAGAUUACUUGGCUUAAAACUUUUAGUUGAAAAUAAACGGGAUAUAACAACACAAUGUCAUGGCAAAUCAUAACUAGAUGUCAAAUUGCUUUGAGUUUAAUUUUACGUUAUUUGUACGUUAUGGUAUUUGGUUUUGUGCCAAAAUAGUUGCCGUAAAAUAGUUGUGAAUUCUUUCAAGAUCAGACCUGAUGUCCACAAACACAACGCAUACAUUUUACUUUUGUUGUUGAGUUUGGCCGUCAAAUGUGUACUUUUAAUUUCGGAUGGAGAAAAAGGUCUGAUUACAAAGUCUACGCUCAUUUACUUUUCUGUGUGACUACUAAACCCUCAAAGUGUAAAAUGUUAAAGAUGUGAAGCAUUGUGUACGAGCUGACGACAGUUCAUGAUUCAUAUAUUCAUCACUGACGCCGAUCUUGACACAUCGACUGUAAUACUUCAGCACUUCCAAAACAACCAUUUCCAUCUCUGUUUUAUCUGAAAGCACAUUCAUUUAUUUAUGUUUUGAUCACAUUGAUCACAUUAUGCAAUUAGUUUUGUAAACGCAUGUAUUGUGAAACGAGAGGUGUGAUGAUGUUCU
This is a long non-coding RNA of Triplophysa rosa, 6826 nucleotides long. RefSeq lists it as uncharacterized. NCBI's taxonomy places the organism in Eukaryota, Metazoa, Chordata, Actinopteri, Cypriniformes, Nemacheilidae. The transcript has 4 exons. The record is from RefSeq and is a predicted model, not a curated record.